Molecule: non-coding RNA, 622 nt
Organism: Macaca mulatta (Rhesus monkey)
Lineage: Eukaryota; Metazoa; Chordata; Mammalia; Primates; Cercopithecidae
Source: RefSeq, a predicted model, not a curated record
AAGCGCGGGGCAUGCUGGGAAGGCAACCCGGGAAGGGUGGGACCCUGGGGCCUGGUGAGGAGCUAAGUGGCCAAGUAGAGUGCUUUGUGAGUCUCUCCUUGGAAGGACUGUCUUUAAAUUGAAGCAAUUAGAGUUACUUUAUGAGAUUUACCCAAAUAUAAGAGCUGAAGAGAAUAAUUCAAAUUGAUCAGAAGAAAAUACUCAAUUACUGAAAAAUAUCAAUUACAUCAAUAGGAGGAGAUAAUGCUGUGUAAUUGUAAGCAGCUGAACUACAAUAUCUCUGUAACAUUUUGCUGGUGACUCCAGCCCUGUGAGAUCUGGGUGGCUCAAGAAUCAAAUUCUCCCACAAACCUGAGGAAGCCUUUUAUUCUUAAUGCAACAGGAUGCCCCAUGUCCAGAAUGUCAAAUCUGAACACCAAUGGAAUGCAUUUUAUAAACACAAUUGAAAAAGCACAAUCUUUAACAGAAUUGUUGUUCUCUAGGCAGAUUAAUUUUGCUUCAAAUACAAAAUGAAAUAUUGGAGAACAAAAUUAUUUUUAAACAGCUAAUACUGAGUAGAAAAUAAAAGGCUGAAAAGUGCUAUAAUGUGUAAAAGGAUUAAAAUUUACUUUCAUUACUUAUU